CAGAAUAGAGACAUUCUUCUGCACAGGAUGCUGUUAUUUGUGUGCAGUCUAGAAUUGCAGAGGUUGGAUUUGAAGCCGGUGCUGCAAUUGUUGCGGGACUUUUAGUACCCUCACAACUGAUAUGCUGUCUGUUGGGUGAAGGUGGUAGUAUUAUUGCUGAACUGAGAAGACCUGGUAUACGUACAUUUGCAAAGGAGCAGGUUCCAAAAUGUGACGCCCAAAACGAUGAACUUAUGAAGGUUAUCGGGAGCUUGCAAUCUGUUCAAGAUGCUUUAUUUCAAAUUACCAGUAGGCUUCAGGAGACUUGCUUCCCAACGAAAUUAAUCCAAAGAUUGGUGCGUGGUCCAGUGGCGGUUUGAAUGUCCACACUUCGAGACAUGCCAGAGAAUGAUUCAACUGGAUGCUGUGAGGACCAAUGGAGAAUGGAUUGUUUACUCUCCAUCCCAGGCUGCUGUGUCCAAGGACAGGGCACACAGUCUAGCAGUAGCAGUGGGGGUUAAAGGACUAAGACCACCUGGAACCCUGUAGAGUCUUUCAUGCAGCGUGCCUAGUUGCAAUACUGGAAGCCUAUGCACUCUAUGAUGAUGAGAUUGGGUAUGAGCGACCUUCUGUCGCCUCUGGCUGCCAUUAUAGAAAAUGAUUAUGAGGCUUUUUGGUGCUCUGCGGGAUUCAUGAAAAAAAGGCAGGCACAACGUUAGGCUCAACAAAGUCGGAAUUCGAAGGCAGUCAAACACUGUUGCGAAGAUCAAAGACCCCCCCAUGUCUAGUGAAGAUGCAGGCUAGAGAGGAUGGUGGUAGUUCUUUUAUAUUUGAGCAAGCAGUAUGUCUGUGGGAGGUGAUGUGGGCACCAGGCAGAUGAAACUGGGAGUAACUCGGCCUGGGGGAGAAUAAUAAAGCAAAAGGCACGGAUGCAGCUUGUAUACUGGGCUUAUGACAUCACUGGGCUUAUGACAUCAACUAAUCCCAAAACAAGUGUUUUAUUAGACCAAAAAUUAAAAUUAAAAAGAAAAUUGAUUACAUCAAAGUUAAGAGCAUAAAAAAAAAUAUGCAACUGGGCCUUAUGACAUCCAACUGAUUGCCCGCUAGUGAUGAUGAACUUGGAAACUUCUUCUGUCAUCACCGUCAUCAAAGUUAAGUGCAUAACUUUGUGCGUCAUACGUUGUAUACAUCCGUUUACUGUUAGUCCAUAUUCCGUUGCUGUUGCAGAAACUUCCAAUGUUCGGAAUGAAUGUUUUUUUCCA
This is a long non-coding RNA of Papaver somniferum (opium poppy), 1241 nucleotides long. RefSeq lists it as uncharacterized. The record is from RefSeq and is a predicted model, not a curated record. Lineage: Eukaryota; Viridiplantae; Streptophyta; Magnoliopsida; Ranunculales; Papaveraceae. The transcript is spliced from 2 exons.